UGCCAAUGCUAAGUACUAGUGCCGCAGGAGGUUCCUUGUUCAACCCCUCCUGCUGUUCGAGUGCUUAAUAUCACAU
This is a non-coding RNA of Capitella teleta, 76 nucleotides long. Lineage: Eukaryota; Metazoa; Annelida; Polychaeta; Capitellidae. The record is from Rfam.